AGCGGCCCCCCUGGUCCCAGGGGCAACAGCAUUGACCCUGAGUGCUCCUGGCAGCAAAGGAGAGCCUGGCCCCACUGGUAUUCAAGGCCCCCUGGCCCUGCUGGAGAAGAGGGCAAGAGAGGAGUCCAAGGUGAACCUGGACCUACUGGCCUGCCUGGACUCCCUGGCGAGUGUUGUGGACCGGGUGCUGCUGGAGAGCCUGGCAAAACUGGAGAGCGAGGUGUUCCUGGACCUCCGGCACUGUCGGUCCUGCUGGCAAAGAUGGAGAAGCUGGAGGUCAGGGACCCCCUGGACUUACAAGCCCCACUGCAGGCAAACCCAGUGACCCUGGUGCUCCUGGCCCCUGUGGAGCAAGAGGCAAGAGAGGUUUCCCCAGCGAGCAUGGUGAGCCUGAGCUCCCUGGCCCAGCUGGCUUCGCUGCCCCCCCCCCACCCCCCCCCCCCCCCCCCCCGGUGCUAAUGACCAACCUGGUGCUGAAGGUUAUCCUGGCACUGCUGGUGCUAAAGGUGUUUAAUCUCUGAGGUGAUUGGGAAAAUCAUGUUAACCAGAGCAGCAUUGGCUUUCAGCCCUCCCAACAGAAAAGGGACAGUUAGCCCGGUGUUUUACUCCUUCCCUAGGCAGGCCUACGCCCUGUCUCAGCAGGAAGUAGUUACCGAAGGGUCACCACCCCAUAUCCCCUUUAGGCAUAAAGGGGUAAAACACCUGGAGGGGGGAAUGAUAGGGAUGGAGUAGGCCAGUAGUUGUAGAAGUCCCAAUAAAGGAUCAUAGAUAGAAGAAAAUCUAGGGGACUUUGGGAGAAUGCUGUAAGUUAAGAAAUUGCUCAAAAAAGCCAUCAGAACAAGGCAGGAUUGCUGAGUGGAAGUGCGAGAAUUACCUCGAGUCAGGUCGGGGUGGGAUGAGGCCUGCAUUCAGGUUCAGACCAAGGGCAGGAAUUUGAGGACCACCCUUCUGCUAAUUUGAAUACAUACCUUACCGGAUACUUAGGAGAAUCUGCUACUCCCAGAAAGGAAGAGGUGGGCUUUUCCAAUCCCUACUCCCCCUGGAUGAUAGAACUGUAGCCCACCGGAUCCUUGGGGCAGAGCUUCUGCACCUGUCCGCUUGCAUCUCUCGCAAGCGUCCUAUCUGAAUAAAUCUAUUUCUUGCCUAUCAAUCACUUUGUCUCUUGCUGAACUGAUUCUGUGCAGAGGCAUGAAGAACCUGAACCUCAGUAAGUCCAGACACAGGGUGAGUGAUUCUAAUUUAAAACUGUGGGUUUGGGAGUUCCCAUCGUGGCUCCAUGGUGAAUGAAUCUGACUAGGAACAAUGAGGUUGCCGGUUCGAUCCCUGGCCUCACUCAGUGGGUUAAGGAUCCGGUGUCGCUGUGAGGUGUGGUGUAGGUCAUAGACCUGGCUUGGAUCCCGCGUUGCUGUGGCUCUGGCAUAGCCCGGUGGCUAUAGCUCCGAUUAGACCCCUAGCCUGGGAACCUCCAUAUGCCACAAGUUCGGCCCUAGAAAAGACAAAAAGUUUAUAAAUUAAUAAAUUAAUUAAUUAAUUAAAUGGUGGGUUUAAGUCCCAAUGUGGGUUUAGGCUGAGUUUGAGUCCUGGCACAUGGGUUCAAGUCCCAAAUCUGGGUUCUGGAUAGGCCUAGGCCGUUAGUGCUGUCGGUUUCACAAGUGCUGUCAUUCUAGGCAAUGACCCAGCUGACCACCAUCAUGAUGCUGCCAAGAUCCCUGAGGUCAGCUUUGAUGACCAAGAUUCCCCCAAAGAAUGCAUGCCUGCCCCAAUCCUGAUUCCUAUCUGAAAACCUGUUUUUCUCCUUUUUCCUAUAAAACUCCCUGAAAUUCUUCCCAAAGGAGGGCACAGUCUUAGCCUGUGUGACCCUCCUUUGCCUGGAAAAGCAAUAAAAACUAUCUUUUUCUCCUUUACCCAAAACUCUGUCUCUCCAUUUCAGAAUUCAGCACUGGUAGACAGAAACUGAAUUUUGGCAACAAAUUUGGGGAGCUCAUCCAGGAUCUGCCUGUGGGUAGGUGGCCCCGCAGGGCUCUCAGCUUGAUCAGACACUCUAAGGUUUCUCUCCAUGCCAGUCUCCCUUGGGGCGAGGGGAGUGGUGGAGCACUCUUCUCUGAGGCCAGAUCGCUGAGUUUCCUGCCGCAGGGCGGAGCUGGGUGCUGAGCAGACCUGACUGGCCAUCUCGGAUGUUGGAACUCCUGGAAAAGUGGUCGGAAGGCAAGGGCCACCCCAGUAGCUGCUGAGGGUCCACUGGCCUUGGGGAACUCCUUCUUUUCCCUCUGCUCCUGCUGACCUGAACUUCCCACUUCCAGAAGCCUUUUUGGGAAGGAGAAAAAUAGUGUCUGGGACAUUGUGACUCCUCUGCCAGCAUCUGGGUAACUCCCCCGGGGUGCACUCCAAGGCCCCUUGGACCUUGUCCAUCUGGGGAACCUUUGGCUCCCGUUUGGGGAUUUUCCUUUUGGGAGAUAGAUCCCACUUGUAAUUUUCUGGCUCCCCUUUGGCUGGCGAGGAUUCGGGUUUUGCUUCAGGUUUUGUGCACGCAUAUUUAAUCCAUCUGAUGAUACCCUAGGAGAGGUUUUAAUAGAGUUCCUAGCCUAACCCUCAGUUUUAUGAGCUAAGGAAAAACAAAGCCAAUCUGGGGAACAUCUCUGAAAUUCCAUUAGGCAGUCCUCUGGGGAAGAUCAUAGGCGACUAUAUCUGGGAACCAAUGACUAAGAUACCACAGCUUUCUUGGUUGAAGAUACUGAGGGGUCUGGGCUGAGUGUUUAGGUAAGAGACUGAUCUGGCACUUUUCCUCAAUUCUGCUGUCUUGAUGGAAUUUGUCAGGGUGAAGAUGAAAGUAUUACAUUCUUGUCCCCAAAGAAAAGGGACAAGGAGUUCCCAUCGUGGCUUAGUGGUUAAUGAGUCUGACUAGGAACCACGAGGUUGCAGGUUCGAUCCCUGGCCUUGCUCAGCGGGUUAAGGAUCUGGCAUUGACAUGAGCUGUGGUGUAGGUCGCAGAUGUGGCUCAGAUCCCGAGUUGCUGUGGCUCUGGC
RNAcentral lists this long non-coding RNA (3023 nucleotides) under Sus scrofa (pig). Its description in RNAcentral is "lncRNA (ENSSSCG00045036572.1)". The record is from RNAcentral. Lineage: Eukaryota; Metazoa; Chordata; Mammalia; Artiodactyla; Suidae.